UUGGCUCGAAACUAAACAGAAAAUUCAUGCAUCAAAUGAGAUUAUUUAGCAGCAACUGGGCUAAUAAAAAAGUAUUAUGUUCCAACGAAUCCUACAAAACUGUUAAUCCCGAUGUGGAAACAUGCAAUUUAAUUCAGUAGAUAAGAUGGACCACCCCCUCUGCCUGUAUGGUUGUGACAUAUGAGAAAGAUGUGGGACUACAGGACCCGAUUAAGUUAAAUGCCAAGUGGUGAGAACAAGAAACAACGUGAAAAAUAAUAGAUACCCAGAAUGUGAUGUCAAUGUGAAAUGGAAUUAGAAUCAAAAGAUGCCAGAGCAAGGACGUCGUACCAAAAUUCUCUCGCCAGAAAGAUGGCUGUUCCCGGAUAUCCUAAAAGCUGGGACUCCCUGGCUCUUGAGCACUCAUCUGGGUUUUAACCACUACUUCCUCAGUUGUUAUACAACGACUCAGCAGCCACAAGCACCAAGCUACAGGUCCUGAGGAGGUCAAUGGCACCCCAGGAAUUCUUCUGAAAUAUGAAGCAGAAUACUAACCAACAGUGAUAAAUACGAACCGGUGCCAAAACAAGAACUAGACAAUACCUCCUCAUGAAUCUCAAUGUCACCAUCUUCACUAAAGUCUUCAUCGCUGCCAAGCUCUUGAGGAUCAUCGGCCUCUUCAU
This is a long non-coding RNA of Cucurbita moschata (crookneck pumpkin), 662 nucleotides long. RefSeq lists it as uncharacterized. NCBI's taxonomy places the organism in Eukaryota, Viridiplantae, Streptophyta, Magnoliopsida, Cucurbitales, Cucurbitaceae. The record is from RefSeq and is a predicted model, not a curated record. The transcript has 3 exons.